UGGGGAAUUUUGGACAAUGGGGGCAACCCUGAUCCAGCCAUGCCGCGUGCGGGAAGAAGGCCUUCGGGUUGUAAACCGCUUUUAGCCGGGAAGAAAAGGCGCAGGCUAAUACCCUGCGUUCUUGACGGUACCGGCGGAAUAAGCACCGGCUAACUACGUGCCAGCAGCCGCGGUAAUACGUAGGGUGCGAGCGUUAAUCGGAAUUACUGGGCGUAAAGCGUGCGCAGGCGGUUCGUUAAGUCAGAUGUGAAAGCCCCGGGCUCAACCUGGGAACGGCAUUUGAAACUGGCGAGCUGGAGUGUGGCAGAGGGGGGUGGAAUUCCGCGUGUAGCAGUGAAAUGCGUAGAGAUGCGGAGGAACACCGAUGGCGAAGGCAGCCCCCUGGGCUGACACUGACGCUCAGGCACGAAAGCGUGGGGAGCAAACAGG
Molecule: ribosomal RNA, 429 nt
Filed under: uncultured bacterium
Lineage: Bacteria
Description: bacterial SSU rRNA
Rfam family: Bacterial small subunit ribosomal RNA
Source: RNAcentral